UAGAUGACCAGACAUGGUUCAACUCAAGAUGA
This 32-nucleotide non-coding RNA is filed under the name Rattus norvegicus (Norway rat). The record is from RNAcentral. Lineage: Eukaryota; Metazoa; Chordata; Mammalia; Rodentia; Muridae.